UACGUAGGGUGCAAGCGUUGUCCGGAGUUACUGGGCGUAAAGCGCGGGCAGGCGGUCUUGCCAGUCUGAUGUGAAAUCUCUCAGCUCAACUGGGAGCAGCCAUUGGAAACUACAAGACUGGAGUCUGACAGAGGUAGGCGGAAUUCCGGGUGGAGUGGUGAAAUGCGUAGAGAUCCGGAGGAACACCAGAGGCGAAGGCGGCCUACUGGGUCAGUACUGACGCUGAGCCGCGAAAGCCAGGGGAGCGAACGGG
This 253-nucleotide ribosomal RNA is filed under the name uncultured bacterium. Its description in RNAcentral is "partial 16S ribosomal RNA". It matches the Rfam family "Bacterial small subunit ribosomal RNA", at positions 524 to 776 of the family's 1533-position model. The record is from RNAcentral.